GUUUGACCUCGGAUCAGGUAGGAAUACCCGCUGAACUUAAGCAUA
Molecule: ribosomal RNA, 45 nt
Filed under: Ilyonectria sp.
Lineage: Eukaryota; Fungi; Ascomycota; Sordariomycetes; Hypocreales; Nectriaceae
Also listed under: 1 other name
Description: partial 28S ribosomal RNA
Source: RNAcentral